GGUAAACAUAAUCAGACAUUAUAUAAUGAGGGGUUUGACAAUCUGCAUAAUAACCCUUUUGUUCCUUGAUUUUUAAGGAACAUUAAUUGGGAAAAGGGCCUCUUUCUCUCUCCUCUCUCACUCUUUAUAUGUCAUAAAGAUGAAAAUAUAAAAGUAUCCCCACAAGUCUAACAUAUUAUCAAGCACUAUCUAAAUUCACCUCCUCUACAUAUCUUACAUUUGAUCUAUUAGAUAUUCAAGCAGUCAACCUUCAAAAAUUUCUCAAUAGACUCAAAGAUUUUCCCUUAUUUCAUUGCUCCAUGCUUCCUCUUCUAAAAACCCUUCCCCCUCACUUCUUCCCACAUGGCCUUGAGAAUUCCUCAUGUAUUAUUUUCCCUUCUUUGCCUCUUUCUCCUCCUUAUAGUAGUCUUUCAUGAAUUCUACGGUCUCAAAUACCUCAAAAACUACGAAACCAAUGGCUUCUCAUCGUCAACCCUAUCUCAUCAUCCUCUAAACCAUAGAAAAGCAAUGGCCACCGCCAAGUUUGACUUUAGUCCUUUUCUCAACCGCCACCACCGGCACCGGAAACACUCAUCGGAAAGAGGGCCGCCAGAGAUUGAUCCACGCUAUGGGGUCGAUAAACGCCUCGUCCCAUCUGGUCCAAACCCUUUGCACCAUUGAAGAAAAUAUAUAAUGAUCAUACAAAGAGAAGUGGUUAGUGAGGGCCUUUAUUCUAUGAUGAGUUUUGUGAUAUCAUUUCGUUUCUUUACUUCAUGAAUAAGAUUGAGCAUGUAAAUUAUAUAUACUAUGAAAAUAGUAGAUUAAUUUUUGUAUUGUGUGUGUGUAUACACACACACAUAUAUAUACACAUAAUCAUGAUUAUGAUUGAUUAUAGCAUAUUAAAUGGCAGAUAUUUGAUUUUAUAUUUGAAGAAACAUGAGUAGCUGUGACGGCACGGCAUGGAAGCAGGGAAAAUUGAUACUUAGCUAACACCACAAUGAUAUUAAUUAAUGUGGUUGGUCAAAUUUUAUAAGCCAAAAUUUCUUUGAAGACAAAUUUUAUAGAGGGAGUGUGCAAUGCACGUGAUGAGCUAUCUGUUCUUUAUGUAUGCGUGUG
This 1095-nucleotide long non-coding RNA is filed under the name Olea europaea subsp. europaea. Lineage: Eukaryota; Viridiplantae; Streptophyta; Magnoliopsida; Lamiales; Oleaceae. The record is from RNAcentral.